RNA transcript from Sapajus apella (tufted capuchin), 3918 nucleotides. It is a transcript of the gene named odr-4 GPCR localization factor homolog, with no coding region annotated. The transcript has 15 exons. The record is from RefSeq and is a predicted model, not a curated record. Lineage: Eukaryota; Metazoa; Chordata; Mammalia; Primates; Cebidae.
GCUUUCUGAUGAAUUAACUGGCAGUGAACUGAGAGCAGAAGGAAUCUGGCCGCCAGAGGCUGGUACUUGCACCUGAACCCCCAUCUCCGGCGAACAGACAGUCCGACGCAUAUUGUCUGCCACGAGUGCACAUUCUGAAAACAGGAGAUUAAUUUAGUUCCCCAAAAUGGGAAGAACCUACAUUGUAGAAGAGACUGUGGGCCAGUAUCUUUCAAACAUAAAUCUCCAAGGAAAGGCUUUUGUCUCUGGCCUUUUAAUAGGACAGUGUUCUUCACAAAAGGAUUAUGUGAUUCUUGCCACUAGAACGCCACCCAAAGAGGAACAAAGUGAGAACCUCAAACAUCCCAAAGCUAAGUUGGAUAACUUGGAUGAAGAAUGGGCCGCAGAACAUGCCUACCAGGUAUCCAGAAUGCUACCAGGAGGACUUUUAGUUCUUGGAGUAUUUAUUAUUACUACUUUAGAAAUUGCAAAUGAUUUUCAAAAUGCCCUGCGUAGACUAAUGUUUGCUGUGGGAAAGUCUAUAAAUAGAAAGAGACUGUGGAAUUUCACAGAGGAGGAGGUCUCAGAACGAGUGACACUUCACAUUUGUGCUUCUACAAAAAAAAUAUUUUGUCGAAGUUAUGAUAUCCAUGAUCCAAAGAGUUCAGCAAGACCGGCAGAUUGGAAGUAUCAAAAUGGAUUGUCAUCCUCAUGGCUUUCUUUAGAGUGUACAGUUCACAUUAAUAUUCACAUCCCACUUUCUGCUACUUCUGUCAGCUAUAGUCUGGAGAAAAAUACAAAGAAUGGACUUACACGCUGGGCCAAGCAAAUAGAAAAUGGUGUUUAUUUGAUUAAUGGACAAGUUAAAGAUGAAGAUUGUGACCUAUUAGAAGGACAGAAAAAAUCUUCCAGAGGAAAUACUCAAGCAACUGGUCAUUCUUUUGAUGUCAGAGUGCUAACACAGUUGCUCCUGAAUUCAGACCACAGAUCCACAGCCACCGUCCAGAUAUGUAGCGGUUCUGUAAACCUUAAGGGUGCUGUGAAAUGCCGAGCUUAUAUCCACAACAGUAAACCCAAAGUUAAAGAGGCUGUGCAGGCAGUAAAGAGGGAUAUAAUGAACACAGUUGCUGAUCGUUGUGAAAUACUGUUUGAGGAUCUCCUUUUGAAUGAAAUUCCAGAAAAAAAAGAUUCUGAAAAAGAGUUCCACAUCCUCCCUCGUCGAGUCUUUGUUCCCCUUCCUGGAUCCACUGUAAUGUUGUGUGAUUAUAAAUUUGAUGACGAGUCGGCUGAAGAAAUCAGAGACCAUUUUAUGGAGAUGUUGGAUCAUACAAUUCAAAUAGAAGAUGUGGAAAUUGCAGAGGAAAUAAACACAGUCUAGUAUAGAGAUGGAUUAACAGUAGGAAGAGUUUAAUAUUACAAGAACAAAGGAAGCAAAACAGCAAUUUGGAAAUUUUAGUUUGUGUGAGUUCCUCUGUGAAUAGUCAAGCUUCAUUGGACAACACAGAUGAUGAACAACCAAAACAGCCAAUUAAAACUACAAUAUUAUUGAAAAUUCAGCAAAACAUAGGUGUGAUUGCAGCAUUUACAGUUGCAGUCCUUGCUGCCGGUAUCUCCUUUCAUUACUUCAGUGAUUAGGGUGAGGCACAAAGAUUUUCUUGAUCAUCCAGAGAACAUUGACAGACAAUUAUGAACAAUAAAGAUGCUGACAGUCAACCUAUAUUUAAAACAGUAGCAGCCAGAUCUGCUGCCAUGAUGCCUAUUAGGUGUGUUUCUGACUAAAAUGAAAUCACAAGCUGCCUUGUUUAGCCUGCUUUAAAUUGUAGGUGGCCCACAUUUCCAAAAAUAAAGUUAUGCUUCUAGAUGGAAGCUGCAUGUAACAAAUCAUUAUUAUUUUUUAAAAGGUUCAAAAUGAUGGGAUAUGAUCAUAGAUUUUUAGUCUUACUAAUCUGAAUCACAUAUUAAUCAGGACAUUAAAACUUGAACAGAGGCCAGGCAUGGUGGCUUACACCUAUAAUCUCAACACUUUGGGAGGCUGAGGCAGGAGGAUCACCUGGGACUAGGAGGGAGUUGGAGACCAGCCUGUUGAUAUAAUGACGUUCCGUUUCUACCAAAAAAAAAAAAAAAAAUACCUGGACAUGGUGGCAUGCAUCUCUAGUCCCAGCUACUUGGAGGCUGAAUCAGGAGGAUCACUUGAGUUUGAGGCUGCAGCAAGCUAUGAUUGCAUCACUGUACUCCUGCCUGGGUGACAAAAUGAGACCUUGUCGCUAAAAUAAAUAAGUAUAUUUUAAAAACAAAAAAAAAAUAGUAAUUUCAACAGUCAAUGUUGAUGCAACAUCUAAUAAUAAUAGGGUACCAGGAGAAAUUUCUACCGAGUAAUGAGACGACCACCUUAGGAUAGGUUCAUCCUCUAGGACCUUCCUAAUGUUCACUCAAUUCCCAUAUACUGUGAGUUUUGUUCUGAUCAAGGGGUAGGGAACCUUUCCAAAGAGAUUCUGUUAAUAAGAAAUGACAUAAAAUAUGUGCUUUCUCAGGUUACUGUAUCAUAAUUUUAAAAAUAUAUUUAAUAUAUAAAAUAAGAUUUUUGCUUCCAGCAAGGUUAGACUAGCUGUUAAAAAACAACUAGAUCUUGAAUAAAUUCUACUUUUGAAUAGGUUCACAAGAAGUAGGAGAACUUUCAAGAACCAUACUUCUACCUUUCCUCUGCCACAAACAAUGAACACAUUUUAAGGUAGGAGUCAUGAAUACUAUAUUAACCAUACAAGUGGACUGUGAUUGUCUGGAUGGCAGAUACCAAUGGCAACACUGCCGUAUGCAGUUUGUCUCAAAUCAGAAACAAGAAGAGAUGUGAACCUGAGAUGCUGCCCUAGACAGGACAGUUAAAGAAGAUUGAGUGGCCCUCAGUUUGUAGUGCUCUACCUCCUGGCAGAAGAAAGAGAGAAACAUUCCUAAUUUAGUUCCAAGACUCCUACAGAUUAUUAUCAAGUAGUAGUAUUUUAUGACUAGAGAUCAGAGGCACAAGGUGAAACAAGCUAACAUGUCAAGGGAGCUAUAGAAAAAAUAAACAUUGAACUCAGUUCUUCAAGGUUUCAUCACCAAGAUAAGAAAUGAAGUUGGAACAAUAGGCAGAUCUGAAAAAGAACCAAAUAGAACUUGAAAUGAGAAAUAUUUAUUGAAAUAAGAAAAAAUCCCUCAGAUAUAUUGAAUAUUAUAUUAGACUCAGCUGGAGAGACAAGUGAACUAUAAGCUGGAUCUAAAGAAAUUACCCAAUGAACAACAAGGAGAUAGAAAACAUUAGAAAAUUAAGAGAGCUGGAGGGAAGAAUUACAAAGACUAAGAAUACUAGAAGGUAUUCUUAAACAAUUGUAAAACUAAAUAAACAUUAGAGAAUGAAGGAGAGGCAAUACUUGAAGAGACAACACAAUUUUCCAAAUUUGUUGAAAAAACGUGAAUUCAUAAAUUCAGGAAGCACAGUAUAUACCAAACAUCUAAUUAAAUAAAAUCCAGGCCCAGACUCAAGAUAGUAAAUGACAAAAUACCAAACACAAGAUUUUGAAAGCAACCAUGGGGAGAAAAAGAUCAACAAUGAAGGGAAGGCAGUCAAAUACUUAGUAGGCUUCCUACCAACAACAGUGUACCCCAAAGAGGGUAGAAUUCUGAGAAAAACUAUUAGCUUAGAAUUUGCUACAAGCAAAACUGAAACAAACACAUGCUGAGAUGAAAAACAGAUAUUAUCUUCAGUAGAACUUCAGCAAAAAGACUACAAAAGAAUGAUCUUCAAAAAGGAAAAUGAUUCUAAAGGGUGAUCUGAAAUUGAACUAGUGAGCAAAUAAAUGAUAAACAUGUAAAUUUAAACUGUUGUUUCUAUAAAACAAUUAUAAUGAAAAGUAUAAGAAAUUGUAAACAAUUGUAAAACUAAAUAAACAUUGUUUUGCAACAUUA